GUACGGGAGGCAGCAGUGAGGAAUAUUGCGCAAUGGGGGAAACCCUGACGCAGCGAUGCCGCGUGGGUGAAGAAGGCCUUCGGGUCGUAAAGCCCUGUCAGGCGGGAAGAACAGCUCCGGGGCUAAUAUCCUCGGGGUGUGACGGUACCGCCGAAGGAAGCACCGGCUAACUCCGUGCCAGCAGCCGCGGUAAGACGGAGGGUGCGAGCGUUAUUCGGAUUUAUUGGGCGUAAAGAGCGUGUAGGCGGCCAGCCAAGUCUGAUGUGAAAGCCCGGGGCUUAACCUCGGAAGGGCGUUGGAAACUGGUUGGCUUGAGUUCGGGAGAGGAAAGCGGAAUUCCGGGUGUAGAGGUGAAAUUCGUAGAUAUCCGGAGGAACACCGGUGGCGAAGGCGGCUUUCUGGACCGAAACUGACGCUGAGACGCGAAAGCGUGGGGAGCAAACAGGAUUAGAUACCCGAGUAGUCC
This 466-nucleotide ribosomal RNA is filed under the name uncultured bacterium. Its description in RNAcentral is "bacterial SSU rRNA". It matches the Rfam family "Bacterial small subunit ribosomal RNA", at positions 339 to 796 of the family's 1533-position model. The record is from RNAcentral.